UGUGGGGUAAGGCAGAGUGGUUUGAGCGCUGGACUAUUGAUUCUGGAGACCAGGGUUCAAUUCCCCACUCCAUCA
Phrynosoma platyrhinos (Desert horned lizard) is the source of this 75-nucleotide non-coding RNA. Lineage: Eukaryota; Metazoa; Chordata; Lepidosauria; Squamata; Phrynosomatidae. The record is from the annotation of a GenBank genome assembly.